Molecule: ribosomal RNA, 253 nt
Filed under: uncultured bacterium
Lineage: Bacteria
Description: partial 16S ribosomal RNA
Rfam family: Bacterial small subunit ribosomal RNA
Source: RNAcentral
UACGUAGGGGGCAAGCGUUGUCCGGAAUCAUUGGGCGUAAAGAGCGUGUAGGCGGUUCGGUAAGUCGGCUGUGAAAGUCCAGGGCUCAACCCUGGGAUGCCGGUCGAUACUGCCGGACUAGAGUUCGGAAGAGGCGAGUGGAAUUCCUGGUGUAGCGGUGAAAUGCGCAGAUAUCAGGAGGAACACCGAUUGCGAAGGCAGCUCGCUGGGACGUUACUGACGCUGAGACGCGAAAGCGUGGGGAGCAAACAGG